GACGAACGCUGGCGGCGUGCUUAACACAUGCGAGUCGAACGGAAAGGCCCUGCUUUUGUGGGGUGCUCGAGUGGCGAACGGGUGAGUAACACGUGAGUAACCUGCCCUUGACUUUGGGAUAACUUCAGGAAACUGGGGCUAAUACCGGAUAGGAGCUCCUGCUGCAUGGUGGGGGUUGGAAAGUUUCGGCGGUUGGGGAUGGACUCGCGGCUUAUCAGCUUGUUGGUGGGGUAGUGGCUUACCAAGGCUUUGACGGGUAGCCGGCCUGAGAGGGUGACCGGCCACAUUGGGACUGAGAUACGGCCCAGACUCCUACGGGAGGCAGCAGUGGGGAAUAUUGCACAAUGGGCGGAAGCCUGAUGCAGCAACGCCGCGUGCGGGAUGACGGCCUUCGGGUUGUAAACCGCUUUCGCCUGUGACGAAGCGUGAGCGACGGUAAUGGGUAAAGAAGCACCGGCUAACUACGUG
This 468-nucleotide ribosomal RNA is filed under the name uncultured bacterium. RNAcentral describes it as "partial 16S ribosomal RNA". It matches the Rfam family "Bacterial small subunit ribosomal RNA", at positions 28 to 507 of the family's 1533-position model. The record is from RNAcentral.